UACGUAGGGUGCAAGCGUUGUCCGGAAUUAUUGGGCGUAAAGAGCUCGUAGGCGGUUUGUCGCGUCUGCUGUGAAAACCCGAGGCUCAACCUCGGGCCUGCAGUGGGUACGGGCAGACUAGAGUGCGGUAGGGGAGAUUGGAAUUCCUGGUGUAGCGGUGGAAUGCGCAGAUAUCAAGAGGAACACCAAUGGCGAAGGCAGAUCUCUGGGCCGUAACUGACGCUGAGGAGCGAAAGCAUGGGGAGCGAACAGG
This 253-nucleotide ribosomal RNA is filed under the name uncultured bacterium. Its description in RNAcentral is "partial 16S ribosomal RNA". It matches the Rfam family "Bacterial small subunit ribosomal RNA", at positions 524 to 776 of the family's 1533-position model. The record is from RNAcentral.